GGAUUAGAUACCCUGGUAGUCCACGCCCUAAACGAUGUCGACUAGCUGUUGGGUCCAAUUUGGGAUUUGGUAGCGAAGCUAACGCGUUAAGUCGACCGCCUGGGGAGUACGGCCGCAAGGUUGAAACUCAAAGGAAUUGACGGGGGCCCGCACAAGCGGUGGAGCAUGUGGUUUAAUUCGAUGCAACGCGAAGAACCUUACCAGCCCUUGACAUCCUCGGAACUUUGCAGAGAUGCAUUGGUGCCUUCGGGAGCCGAGAGACAGGUGCUGCAUGGCUGUCGUCAGCUCGUGCCG
RNAcentral lists this ribosomal RNA (294 nucleotides) under uncultured bacterium. RNAcentral's name for it is "partial 16S ribosomal RNA". It matches the Rfam family "Bacterial small subunit ribosomal RNA", at positions 775 to 1067 of the family's 1533-position model. The record is from RNAcentral.